This 441-nucleotide ribosomal RNA is filed under the name uncultured bacterium. Its description in RNAcentral is "partial 16S ribosomal RNA". It matches the Rfam family "Bacterial small subunit ribosomal RNA", at positions 338 to 795 of the family's 1533-position model. The record is from RNAcentral.
CCUACGGGGGGCUGCAGUGGGGGAUAUUGCACAAUGGGGGGAACCCUGAUGCAGCGACGCCGCGUGGGUGAAGGAGCGUUUCGGCGCGUAAAGCCCUAUCGGCAGGGAAGAAGGAGGACGGUACCUGACUUAGAAGCCCCGGCUAACUACGUGCCCGCCGCCGCGGUCAUACGCAGGGGGCAAGCGUGAUCCGGAUUUACUGGGUGUAAAGGGGGCGCAGGGGGUGGCGCAAGCCAGGAGUGAAAGCCCGGGGCCCAACCCCGGUACUGCUCUUGAAACUGCGCGGCUGGAGUGCAGGAGGGGCAGGCGGAAUGCCUGGUGUAGCGGUGAAAUGCGUAGAUAUCAGGAGGAACACCGGUGGCGAAGGCGGCCUGCUGGACUGCGACUGACGUUGAGGCCCGAAAGCGUGGGGAGCAAACAGGAUUAGAUACCCGUGUAGUC